RNAcentral lists this ribosomal RNA (235 nucleotides) under uncultured bacterium. RNAcentral's name for it is "partial 16S ribosomal RNA". It matches the Rfam family "Bacterial small subunit ribosomal RNA", at positions 100 to 334 of the family's 1533-position model. The record is from RNAcentral.
CGGGACGGGUGAGUAAUGUCUGGGAAACGUGCCUGAUGGAGGGGGAUAACUACUGGAAACGGUAGCUAAUACCGCAUAACGUCGCAAGACCAAAGAGGGGGACCGUUCGGGCCUCUUGCCAUCGGAUGUGCCCAGAUGGGAUUAGCUAGUAGGUGGGGUAACGGCUCACCUAGGCGACGAUCCCUAGCUGGCCUGAGAGGAUGACCAGCCACACUGGAACUGAGACACGGUCCAG